AAAUAUGAAGCAAAAUUGCAAUUAGUUUCGACCUAAUUUUAGGUAAUAUCUACCCUUAUUUU
Molecule: transfer RNA, 62 nt
Filed under: Periscepsia handlirschi
Lineage: Eukaryota; Metazoa; Arthropoda; Insecta; Diptera; Tachinidae
Description: tRNA-Arg
Source: RNAcentral